RNAcentral lists this small RNA (562 nucleotides) under Pan troglodytes (chimpanzee). RNAcentral describes it as "processed transcript". The record is from RNAcentral. Lineage: Eukaryota; Metazoa; Chordata; Mammalia; Primates; Hominidae.
AAAUCAUCGAGGCCAUCAAAGAGACCGAGGGUCGCCGCUUCAUCUCCGACCAGAGCCGGAGAAAGGACCUCUCCGACCGGCCACUGCCGGAAAGACGAAGCCCAAAUCCCCGACUACUAACUAUUCCGGAGGCAGCAACCAUCUUACUGGCGUCCCUUCAGAAAUCACCAGAAGAUGAAGAAAAAAACUUUGAUCAAACCAGAUUCCUGGAAGACAGUCUGCUUAACUGGUGAAAAUAUACUGGAUUAUGUUUAAUUAUAGUUCUAUUCUCUUUGAAAACAUGAACCAUGUGAAUAAAACCUUUGGACCCUUUUAUUCCAUUUGUAAUCUUAAGAACACACACAGAUAGUUUUAUUCUUUCAGAAACAAAAUAUAUGUAGGAUGCUUAGCUGAGAACAUCAUCUUCUUUCAUUGCUUCAGGUCCUGUUUAGAUGACCAAAAAUGUUUUCAGAUCACCUUGUGUCUUACUCUUGAGUUUCUUAGAAUAUUUAUAAUUAUAAGGCUGAAGACUAAAGUGUUCUUUCCUUUUAACUAUAGCCAGUACCUGUCUUGAUCUUAGUUG